Molecule: non-coding RNA, 2622 nt
Organism: Zootermopsis nevadensis
Lineage: Eukaryota; Metazoa; Arthropoda; Insecta; Blattodea; Termopsidae
Source: RefSeq, a predicted model, not a curated record
AAUAAUAUAUUAUUUAUUAUCAUCUAUUAAGUGAUUCUUUUAGCAACUCUAAAUUUUAUUUCUGUCAUUGUUGAUUUGUUUUUAAUUAUAGCCUGCAUGUUGUUUCUCUUGUAGUAAUGUUUGGAUUUUACUUUCUAAGGGCAUGUAUUUUCUUUGGUGAAAACUGAAGGCAUAUAUUGUGACCCACACAGAUGCUGGGACCACUUUUCUCUAAAAGGAAAUCAAGCAGUGACAGAUUGCUUUGAUCUGAUGCAUUUGACAGUACAUCAUGAUUGUAUCCAUGAUUUUGUCUCAUCUGUGUUUUAUCUUACCUUCAGACUUAAUAGUUUGUAAAAUGAUAAGCAGAAAGUAGUCUGUGUGUCCAGCAUAAAACAAAGAGAAGAUGAAGUUCCUUUAUGGAAUUUGUGAAGUGUGAAAAAUUUGCUGUGAUAUGUAAUGGUGUAUAAUACUUAUAUGUUUAUUAGCUUGUUGGUUAGGUCAAUCUUAAAACCGCUGCUUGAUAUUCCAGCAUCAGAUCAGUUCAAAUGUGACAUGCCCAUCAUUUUGGUUUGCUGUGUCCUAAUGGUGGGGCAUAGAAUGUGAAGGUUUCAUUUUUUAAAAAUCAGGCUAAAAAUGUUACCAACAUCUAAAUCAAACUGUUAUAGCCCAUUGGCAACUGUAUUCCCCACCUUUUUCAAUACCUAGUAACUCUUUAUUUUGUAUUCAUGGGUUUUGUAUGGUUGUUUCCUUGAAUAACAUUAACAAGUUGAUCUUUGUAAUGGUCAAAUAUUGUUUUAUUUGUGGUAUGGACUGAAUUCUUAAAUAUUAUUAGGUGUGCUUCAGUUUCAAAGGGUUAAAGGAGAUUCAGUGAAAUCAAGUGCCAGUUUUUGCAUAUUUAUGGUCUUUGGGGUCUGGCAUCAAAAGCAUUAGGAGAUGAUAAAUAAGACAUAAUUACCCUUGGGCACUUACUUAAAUUAAAUUGUGCUGUUGGCUACUGACUAAAUGGCUACUUUGCAGGAGCUGAUUUUCUCACCAUGCAUGUGCUUGCUGUACUCAACUCCUAGUUAGUAGUUGUAAAUCAGUUAAAAACAGGGCAAAGUAUGUUUGCAUGAUCGUCUGUGUUAGUAUCCGAGUGCUCUAGUGAUGAACCGCGGCUUGCUACGAUUUAAUCAUAGUAUUACUUCAGCAUCUUUCACUGUAUUAAAAGUUAUUAUUCUGUGUGUGAAUAAAAGAAUAUGGUACAAACAUUAGGACAAAUAAUUGCUUACUGUUUAUGGAUGAUGAUGUAGUUUAAGACAGUAGGAUGAAUCUGCAAGUUGGAGGCUUGGAUUACCUUGACAUUUUUGGUGCCAUUACUGUGGCUGAAGUAGGAUGUUUCUUUGAAAUCUGAGAAUAUUGUGAAUUAUGUUCAUGUGACUAUAUUGAAUCAGUAGAUUUUAUUGUACAUUUUGGAUUUGGUUGUAUUAAAACAGGUUAAUAGUAAGUCUGUUAAACUAUUUUACAGACUAAAUGAAAGUGGAGGAAAUUUGCAAAUAUGUGUCCUCAGACAUAUGGAAAACUGUAGUUUACUUGAAGUUAUGGUCCAUGCAUUAAGAUAUAAAGUAUCAUCUGUUAUAUGCCUGAGGGCUUUUGUAACUUGAAAUUUGUCUUUCGUGACCCAUAAGUUAUUUUCCGUUGGUAUUACACAUGUUUUUAGUUGUAGCCAAAAUCAGUAAUUUUUAAUUUUUUGUCAGUGGGUUAUAUUUGCUUAUCUAUAGGAGAAUUGUUUUGAAAUCCUCAUGGCAGUAUUUUAUAGUGUUCAAAUAUAUGAAAAUAUAACAAUUACAUUAUUAGAGAGACUUCAUAUGUUUGGAUAUUACAAAUUGUGUUAACCCUGCUUGCAAAGUCAUCUAAUGGUGGUUAUUUCCCUAUAACCUUGCAUGAGAGGGACCACAAGGAUAAGAAGUGUAUGAUCAGGAAGCAGAGUAUGCAGUAAGGCUAUUUUGCAUGUGGUGUGGAAUGUCUAGAAUUUCCCGUUGUUCAUAUACUGUUGUCGAUAUGCAUUUGAAUAAAAAGUACCUUAAAUGUUUGUAUAUUAGCCCAGGGUACUAGUUGCAGCUUGUCCUGAUAUGGGCUACACCUUGAACAAAAAUUAUUUUUAAGGUUAGUGUUCAGUAAAAAAAAUUAUAUCAUUAUAAAGGAGUACUUGAAUUUGGAAAUAUUCAUUAAUUGAAUCAACACAGUUCUGAUUAUUACACAUUUUAGGUGUGAAAACCAUGUUUUAAGAAAGGCAUCUAAAGGCACUUGUUAACAGUUUUUGUGCCAGUACUGGGAUAAAAUUCAAAAACAGGGUACUAUAUAUCCCUGAAGUUUAAUCAAACAUUUAUCAUAAUUUCAGUAUUUUGAAACUUGCAUUGUUUUGCUUGUCUUGACUGCAGUACAAGGAGAACUGUUUGUGAGUGUUCUGCAUCCUGGUCAUUGAGUGGUGACGCAGCUAGAGGACAGAGUGGGAUGGCUUGUCCCACUUUUCAUGUAUGGCUUGUGCUUCUAGUCUCUAACUGUUACUAACAAUGAACACUGGUUUUCCAUUGCACAUACUAAUAUUUGUAUGUAUACAAGUUUUUUGAGUGCCCAAUAAACUUAGUUAAACUAUGAAUGACUUAA